GACGAACGCUGGCGGCGUGCUUAACACAUGCAAGUCGAGCGAUGAAAGCCUUAUGAACUAUUCGUAGUGAUUGAGGCCGGAUUAGCGGCGGACGGGUGAGUAACGCGUGAGCAACCUGCCUUAAACAACGGGAUAGCCUCGGGAAACCGGGAUUAAUACCGUAUGAGACCCCGCCUUCACAUGAAGAAGAGGUUAAAGAUUUAUCGGUUUAAGAUGGGCUCGCGUCUGAUUAGCUAGUUGGUGAGAUAAAAGCCCACCAAGGCAACGAUCAGUACCCGGCUUGAGAGAGUGAACGGUCACAUUGGAACUGAGACACGGUCCAAACUCCUACUGGAGGCAGCAGUGGGGAAUAUUGCACAAUGGAGGAAACCCUGAUGCAGCGACGCCGCGUGAGCGAUGAAGGAAUUCGUUUCGUAAAGCUCUGUCCAAGGGGAAGAUAAUGACAGUACCCUUGGAGGAAGCCCCGGCUAAAUACGUGCCAGCCGCCGCAGUAA
Molecule: ribosomal RNA, 494 nt
Filed under: uncultured bacterium
Lineage: Bacteria
Description: partial 16S ribosomal RNA
Rfam family: Bacterial small subunit ribosomal RNA
Source: RNAcentral